Long non-coding RNA from Episyrphus balteatus (marmalade hoverfly), 999 nucleotides. RefSeq lists it as uncharacterized. The record is from RefSeq and is a predicted model, not a curated record. Lineage: Eukaryota; Metazoa; Arthropoda; Insecta; Diptera; Syrphidae. The transcript is spliced from 3 exons.
UUAAUUUGCUUUUUGUUUAAUUAUAUUUGCUAAAAGGUGAAAUAUAUUUGCUAAAAGGUGAAGUAUAUUUGUGAAAAGGUUAAAUCAUUUGUGUUAAGUUUAAAUAAAAGUGCGAAUGCUAUAUCUAUGAGCACGCGUUUUCCGGUCCUCAUAGAAUCUUUUGAAGAUUUCAACACCUACCCACGGACAAAAAAAAAAAAAAUAGAGUUCCCGCUCGUUGUUGUAUUUUCAUUCAUAAAAUCCGAGAAAAUAUAAUUGGCCCUGGAACUAGUUGUUGGUUGUUCGUCCAAAAUAUCUUCAGAUUCCGCAGCAGUAGCAGGAACUAUUGACUUUAUAAAAUCGACUUUUGUCCAGCUUUUCGACCAGAAUACUCCUACGUGCGCCGUUUCGAAGUCGAGGUCGGACUCACUACGGAGCCAAUUCGGACUCGUUUGCUUGAAAGGUUCAGCCCUAUUGUGAGUUUCACGUGAACAAGAUUUCACACGGAAAUCAUGAAUUUCAUUUUUCCCCUAUUGUAACUUAUGAGGUAUUCGACAGCUCUUCUCUCACUUAAAUUUUGGUGGCGAACAAGAAACUAGUUAAGCGGAAAGUGUAAAUUCCCUUCGGCUGAACUUCAUCAUAGCUUUGGAAAUUCCGGGCGAACAAAAAUAAUCCGGGAGGAAAACAUUCCACGUGCAACUCACAACAGGGCUGACUAUCUGUUCAUCGCUAAUGGCAGCAUCUAUACAGACGAGCUGUAGAGACCUAUCUGUAGUUUUAGCAUCCCUUCCAAGCUAGUGCGUGAGCCGGAUGACGAUAGAGAAUGCACGCUGCUCUGUCAGGGUCUAUAUUAUUGAUGAAUUUAUACCUCGUGAGAUAGUGUGGAAGCACUUUUAAAAAUAAAAUCAAACCAUUCGACGAUACCAACUAUUAAGCAUAGUUCUUUUAUAAACGAUUUUCUAUUUGUUUUUUUUUUUUUUUUUUACAAGAAAUAAAUUUAUAAAAUUAUUUCAUUCAUAC